UUCUUCUGGUAUGAAAUGUCCGAUUUCCCCUGACAGCUCCACAAAGCCUCUUUUCACAGCAAUGACACAGAUCUUUCCCCAAUAUACCUUUUUUUCUGGGAAGGGGAGCCUUAAUCUUUUUGGAUUUGACUCAUAUUAGUUCUGGGAACACAGGUGGCCUUGCACUAGGAGAAAAUUGCCAACAUUCUUUUUUUGGAUCAUUCCAUCGACAUGAAGAACCAGUUCGGCCCAUGUACAAUCAUCUCCCGCAGUCUCAGCAGGAUGCACGGACCAUAGAAGGGGGGUGGGGGGUGAGUGCACCAAGGAAGAAGACAAGUGGCACCAUACUGUCCACUUAGGUAAUUCAAGAUUUGCAACGCCCUCUACUGGAGAAAUGUCAACACAUAAAAACCUGGGCUGUAAUAGGUGAUGGAUGUGUCAUCAGUUAGCGAUGGGUUUUCUUCUCAUCCUUAAACUCAUUGAUUAUUUGGUAGCCUUCUCCUUGAUGUAUCAAUUAAUAAGAUCAAUAAGAUCCCAUUGAUGCUGUGGAAUCUUGAAUCAGGAACAGAACAGAGCUGUGCAGACAUUUUUAUAUCCCAACUAUCAAUUUGAGCAGUAUCUACAACAUACCACUACAAUAUUGUUUUGAGAGAUCCUUUACCUUCCGAUUCCAUGAAAUGUUUUUAGAUUCACGAGUCAACAGGUCACAGAGAGACAGGUCAAGUUGCCAUGGUGAUUGGAUAACCCUUAUCACCCAUUUGAAGCUCUCUGGCACCCUCUACUGAUCAAGUAGGAACAUAGCACUGACACGCCACACCGAAUAAACAAUUAUUAUAAAUCAUACGGUGGGUAUUAAAACUUUUUUUCCAUAUCACACUACUAUAUUAAGCAGAUUGUAAAAACAAUAAAAGUCCAAUUGCAAUAAAUUUGUAAAUGACAUACAUUUAUUUUUUUCUGCUAAUUGCCUUCAGUUUAUAGCAUGGAUUGCUCUUGGCAAUAUUUAAGCUAUUUUAUUGAUUCAUUGUUACACAGUGCAUGCAUUUCUAAUGGAAUAGAAAAAGAUUUCUGAAGGUUCUGAACUCCAGUUUUCAAGCCAGUGUGACAUGGAGUGCAAUAACGUUGCCUGAAAGGCAUGGAUGUUGCUCAACUUCUCAUAGCUGGCCUGUUCUUAAUAAUUCUUCUUAAGACCACAAACUGAGGCUGUAUCUUAGUUACAGCCAACUACAAAUAAGUAGUGUAAGGGUUUGUUUUUAAUUCCACUCAAUCGACAAAAUUCUUCAAAUAAUUCAUUCUGACUUACUUUAGAAAAUAGCCUCGUUAAAACACCAGACCCAUAUGUAAGUUCAUCAAUAUAUUUAAUCUAUCUAAACAACAAUUGUAACAUAACAUGUAAUAUUUCCAAAAUCUUGAUGUAAUUUCCGACAAAAAUGCAAUAAAACGCAAUGAAAACAUCCACAUAAACCUGAUCUAUUGGAGGAUCAAACGGGGGAAAAAAAAUCUUACUUUAAAAACAAUCCAAUUCAUAAAAAAUGCAUGAGGGCGGCCCCAGCAAGGAGCACAGAGUUUCAUCAUGAACCCAAUGACACCAAAAGCUGCAGUAGCAACAACACUCGCUAGACGGCGACAUUCUGCUUUGAAAUCUCCAAAAGUCAGCCAGCCUCGGACUCAGAUUGCAUGUGGGAGGGAAUUAUUUAUUUGGGCAUUUAAAAAGAGCAAACAGCACGUCGUGGUUUCACUUCAGGUCUAGCGGGCGAGGCUACAUAAGUCUGACAGCUUUAAUGACAGAUGGAGCCAGAGCAGCAAACACAAGCAGAUGUCUGUGCUCACUGAUCUAAUCAACAGUGCAAGACCUCCUUUGCUAUAAAGAGCAACAAAAAAAAAAACUCUCAGGAGAUGGAGAAAGUAGAGAUGGAACACACAGACAGAAAGGAGGGUGA
Syngnathus typhle (broad-nosed pipefish) is the source of this 1916-nucleotide RNA transcript. It is a transcript of the gene named peptidyl-tRNA hydrolase 2, with no coding region annotated. Lineage: Eukaryota; Metazoa; Chordata; Actinopteri; Syngnathiformes; Syngnathidae. The transcript has 2 exons. The record is from RefSeq and is a predicted model, not a curated record.